GACGAACGCUGGCGGCGUGCUUAACACAUGCAAGUCGAACGGUAAGGCCCUUCGGGGUACACGAGUGGCGAACGGGUGAGUAACACGUGGGUGAUCUGCCCUGCACUUCGGGAUAAGCCUGGGAAACUGGGUCUAAUACCGGAUAGGACCCUGGGAUGCAUGUCCUGGGGUGGAAAGCUUUUGCGGUGUGGGAUGGGCCCGCGGCCUAUCAGCUUGUUGGUGGGGUGAUGGCCUACCAAGGCGACGACGGGUAGCCGGCCUGAGAGGGUGACCGGCCACACUGGGACGGAGAUACGGCCCAGACUCCUACGGGAGGCAGCAGUUGGGAAUAUUGCACAAUGGGCGCAAGCCUGAUGCAGCGACGCCGCGUGAGGGAUGACGGCCUUCGGGUUGUAAACCUCUUUCAGCACCGACGAAGCGCAAGUGACGGUAGGUGCAGAAGAAGGACCGGCCAACUACGUGCCAGCCGCCGCAGUAA
This 478-nucleotide ribosomal RNA is filed under the name uncultured bacterium. Its description in RNAcentral is "partial 16S ribosomal RNA". It matches the Rfam family "Bacterial small subunit ribosomal RNA", at positions 28 to 523 of the family's 1533-position model. The record is from RNAcentral.